Molecule: long non-coding RNA, 456 nt
Filed under: Zea mays
Lineage: Eukaryota; Viridiplantae; Streptophyta; Magnoliopsida; Poales; Poaceae
Description: long non-coding RNA NONZMAT003701
Source: RNAcentral
GUGUGUUUUCUAAAUGAAGGGUGUCCGACAGGGGGAAUAUGUCUUUUUCCUUGAAAGGGGGAGAAUACCUUUCCCACAGGGGGAGAACUUUCUUUUAGAGGGCAAGUCUUUAACUACUUCCUAUGUGCUUGUAUAUGUCUUCCUUUUCGUUAUUUGAUUCCAAAUGGGCGAGGGAAUUUUAUAGACCAAAGCAAACCAUAGUUAUCAAAUACCAAAAACCACCAAGUUUAUUUUUUUUAUUCUUUCAUGUGGUUAUCUAUGUUGGUUUCAGUCCAAAAUAUGAAGUAUGUGGAUUAUGGAGAUAGGGGGGCUUAAGUCCACAAUCACACAUUAGGGGACUAAUUGCAUAUGCAAAAAUGUGCUUGAUUUCUAAAUGAACUCAUAGCUGUCAAUUUGGUACGUCAUACAUCUUGCUUAUAUGCAUCCAUAGCAAGUAGAGUGCAUAUUUCAAUUUGG